Strigamia maritima is the source of this 85-nucleotide non-coding RNA. NCBI's taxonomy places the organism in Eukaryota, Metazoa, Arthropoda, Chilopoda, Geophilomorpha, Linotaeniidae. The record is from Rfam.
GUCAGGAUGGCCGAGUGGUCUAAGGCGCUGCGUUCAGGUCGCAGUCCAGUUCUUCUGGGCGUGGGUUCAAAUCCCACUUCUGACA